RNAcentral lists this long non-coding RNA (1010 nucleotides) under Felis catus (domestic cat). Its description in RNAcentral is "lncRNA (ENSFCAG00000044127.2)". Lineage: Eukaryota; Metazoa; Chordata; Mammalia; Carnivora; Felidae. The record is from RNAcentral.
AGAAAAGUAGUUUUCCAGAGGAAAAUUGGAGGGCUUGGAUACAAGGAAGUGGGGCAGGAUGCUGGGAAGGCUAAACAAUAAUUGCCCACAACAGUAUCUCUGAACAUCUAGAAAGAAAGUGGAAAAACAAUUAAGUGCAUUCAUUUCAUAUCCUCUUAAUCACCUCCAGGCCACUGAAUGGUGCAAAGUCAAAGACAAGGUCAAAAACCAGGUCUGAAACAUACAAGUACCUUAUUAUAUGAUGGAGUGCAGAUGAGAAAGGUUUAUGUGAAAAUUUUUAGUUAGAGGUAAAAAAUGAUAAAUGCUAUGAUGUAGGCAUAAAUCCAGAGUUUCUAAAAAACCAGCCAUGAUAGUGACAACUCAGAAAACAUUGGAGAAAACAUUGGAGAAGAAUUCUGUCAUUCUUGGCUUCCAUCCCAUACAGCUGAACUCCGCAAACUUUAGAGUGUCCUCUAAUCACCUGGAGAUCUGGUUAAAAGGCAGGUUCUGAUUCAGUAGGUCUGGGGAGGAGCCCAAGCGCCUGCAUUUCUAACAAGCUCCCAGAUGUCUCUGAUGCUGCUAUUCAGGAACCUUGCACUGAGGAGCAAAGCAGGAGAGGGGCUUUGUAUUUGCUGCUCCCUCCGCCUGGAAAGCACUUGAUCCAGAUACAUCUUUGGUGUACCAAGAAGCUUCACCUGGCUAUUGUAUUUAAAGUGCGAGCUGUAAAGGAUAUUGUCUCUCAGAGAGAAGAGUGGGAGACUGCAAAGGAGAUUGCCGCCAUUUUGCAGUAUAUAUGUGUUGUUGCUGCUGACCUACUGACUCGCCUCUGAUGUGAAGCCGCAGCUGGGCCAGAUGCAUGUGAUACAGCCAGCAAGAGUCCUGCUUUUACAGGAUUCUCUUGUCAUCAAGGUCAGAGGCAAUAAGAAUGGACAUGGGUUUCAUUCUCUCCUAGUGGGAUUCUAGCCUGAUCUUCAUCUUCCUUUCCUGACUGCCUGUUGUGUGAACUCUAAGCCCCAGCCUCAGAAUUGUGA